Molecule: ribosomal RNA, 253 nt
Filed under: uncultured prokaryote
Description: partial 16S ribosomal RNA
Rfam family: Bacterial small subunit ribosomal RNA
Source: RNAcentral
ACGGGGGGGGUAAGCGUUGUUCGGAAUUACUGGGCGUAAAGGGCUCGUAGGUGGCCAACUAAGUCAGACGUGAAAUCCCUCGGCUUAACCGGGGAACUGCGUCUGAUACUGGAUGGCUUGAGUUCGGGAGAGGGAUGCGGAAUUCCAGGUGUAGCGGUGAAAUGCGUAGAUAUCGAGAGGAACACCUGCGGCGAAGGCGGGUUGCUGGGCUGACACUGACGCCGAUGCGCGAAAGCUAGGGGAGCGAACGGGA